Choloepus didactylus (southern two-toed sloth) is the source of this 2051-nucleotide long non-coding RNA. RefSeq lists it as uncharacterized. NCBI's taxonomy places the organism in Eukaryota, Metazoa, Chordata, Mammalia, Pilosa, Megalonychidae. The transcript is spliced from 7 exons. The record is from RefSeq and is a predicted model, not a curated record.
CCCCUUUCUUCCUAGGAAACAGAUAUUCUCCCUCUCCUGGGUGUUCCACUGCAGGUCUUAAAGCAGAAUCCUCGUAAAAGGAGAAGUCCAAGACCUGGCUCAUGAAGUGGUAUUGAUUUUUUGAGUUCCUGCUCGAAUUGCCAAAGAUACAACACUGCUGUUAAGGAGAGGAGAUGCUUUGGCCUUCAAUAUCACAGGAGGGUUCCUCGGAGCUGAAAAACGAUUACAAAUACGAAACAGAUUUCACUACUGGACUUGAGCUCCACGUUAUAAAAACAAUAAGCUCCUCAGAAUAAUUGGAAAAGAUCCUUACCAAAGAGUAGCUGCAAUGGGAAUGGAGUGUAUCAAGGAAUAAGAGGGUACAACCAUCCUGGUUUGCUGGAACUGAGGAGUUUCACUUACAUAAAAGAAUGCACUGAUGGAUGUCCAUGAUGUUGUUCAGCAGCAAGAGUUGACGGUGGGAAGCUGGGUGAAAAUGCAAGUGGACUAUGACUCCUGGUGUCCAGGAUAGAGUGGGGAGGGACAAGCCCUGCCAUUCCCCAGCAGAGUUGAAGUAAAGACGAAUCAAUAUCCCCAUGGUGUCAUCACUGGGUUGAAAAAUCAAGUGAUUUCAGCCUUCAAAUCCCCUUUUAACACAGAAAAAGAAAUGUGACAAUGUUUAUUUACACACAUCUGUUUGUCAGAGGACUUCAAAGCAGUGGACAGAGAUCAGUUACGCACUGCCACUUCCCCCUUAGGCUGCAUCUCCUUCUUUCAGGUGGGACACUGAGGUCACUAGCACGGAGGCAGCUCACCCUCUUUUCAGCUCCUGGGCCACAACGUAGGGCAGGAGUCCAGUCGGGAUGAGGACUUGGGUCCUGGCGCCUAACCACCCGCCGUGGACUCCAGCUACCAGAACCAUCCAAAGAAGCAAGCGUACCACCUGGCCCAAAGAAAGAGUCCAGCCCUGAGUGUGGCAGGUUAAGAGCCUACAGGGUGGUUCACUCAAAGGCACUGCCUUGCUCCAUCCCGUGCUGCUAUUGUACAUUGGAACGCACGCUGCUAGGAGACAAAGAGGACACACGUUUAUUUUCAAGUGUAGGACUUUGGAACCACUUGGGAAGAAUAUUCUUGAUUGAAAACCAAAACAUUCCAUGAUGCUUAACAAACCUGCAAAUUGAAAAAUCAGCAUCGGCCUGUGCAGCCAGGAGGCAGGAGAAGGACCUAUAGCCUGGAAAAAAAAAAUCAAAAUAUUGCCUAAAUGACAUUUGUGUGCAUUUGCAAAAUUGCCACUUUCUGAAUCAAAGGCUCAAGCUGUUUUCAUCUGAGAACAUAUGUUGUGCCGUUAGACAAUAUCUCAGCCUGCCGCCGUCCACGACAAACCCUGGCGCAUGGCAUAAUGGACAGUCCCGUGAAGAAGGCGCUGCCGCUCCGUCAAUGCCCCUGUAAUAAUAUUUUAAAGUAAAUGACAUGCAUCAUUAAAUCACUGAGGAUGACUAACUCAAUUUUAGAAAACCCACAACUCCAGCAAUCAUAGUUACAGCUCUGAUUUGAAUAUUUUCACUUUCACCUGAGCAGCCAGUGGGAGCCAGUCAGGCAGAUUCUGCAUCCAGGCAGACGCUGUCUGUGCUCUCAAAGGAGCAGGAAGGAACCUGUGAUUAUGUAGUUACAGGAACGUCGGCUAGAUGCUUCACGUCCGCCUGGGCUUUUUAGGCUUUUCUUUCCUCCCUUCUUGCCUUCUUAUUUACAUAUCACAGGCAAUCUCUUUGUAAAGUUAUUUUAAAUAAUUUAUUAGAUUGAUCUUUUUAAAAUUCUACCCUGGCUAAAUGUCAUAAGGAAACAAAAAGUCUUCUAAACUUAUUUAAAGGUUUCUACUGGAGUGGGCCAGUUACCUGCUUCACUGCUGUUAUUCUAAAAAUACCUCCAUGUCCAUACUAUUAUCCAUUCUUCACGUCCAAUUGCUCUGUUAUGGUAAUAGUCAGAAGCACACCAUGCAGUAAUUACUUACAGCUGACUGAAGAAAAGAAUAUUCCACUCCCCCACUGUUCCACUAGAAGGUCUUUAUGCACUAU